This 1182-nucleotide long non-coding RNA is filed under the name Marmota monax (woodchuck). Lineage: Eukaryota; Metazoa; Chordata; Mammalia; Rodentia; Sciuridae. The record is from RNAcentral.
ACUCUGAAUUUUCUAUAUUGAUUCUUCCUCUCAUCUUAAUCUUAAUGGUUUACUAUAUUAAUAAUGUUUGAUUCUUUCCUAUUUCUCAUUUGGAUAUCUAGUCUUCUAAUGAGGUUUACUCUUCCCUGUGCUCUCAUGUUUGUGUUUAUCUUUUAUCUGUUUUGGGUUUGGGGUUCUGUAUGGUGUGGAUAUUGAAGUGGUCAGAAGUUCAGCAGGGUUCAGAAGUGGGGUUUUAGGAAAGUGAUAAGAUCAUGAGGGCCCUGAUCUUACCUCAUUUGAUAGCUUAAUUCACUGAUAGUGAAUUAACUACUGGAAGGUAUGAUGUAAUUGGAGGAAGUAGAUCACUGGAGGCAUGUCGUGGAAGGGUUUAUCUUCUCCCCAUCUACUUUCUCCCUCCUGCCCACUCUCAAUGUUUCUCCUUUUUUGGCUUCUAUGAGCUGACUGCUUUUCUCUACCAUACUUUUUCACUAUGAUGUUCUUCUUCACCUCAGGCCUAGAGCAAUGGAGCCAGCUCACCAUGGACUGAGUCCUUUGAAACUGUGAGCUAAAAAUAAACUUAUGCUCCUCUAAGUUGCUUGUGUCAGGUAUUUUUGUUAUAGUAACAAAAAGUUGACUGACACAAAAAGCUGUUAUUCAGAAGUGGUGUUAUUGCUGUGACUAUCCCUGACCAUAUGGUUCAGAAGCCUUUGGAAAUGGUUCACAUGAGGAGUUUGGAAAGACUUGGAGUUAUGGGCUAGAGAAGGACUAGAAUGUUGUAAACAUAGCUUAAUGGUCAAUUCUGAUGUGAGCUUCGAAGACCAGAAUGCUAGUAAGACUGCUAAUUGUGAAGAUUGUGCUCAUGAGGUUUCAAAUGGGAAUGAGGACUCCAUUGGGGACUGAACUAGAGGCUAUUCAUGUAAUAUCUGGCAAAGAACUUGUCUACAUUUUUCCAUAUCUUAAGUUGUGUGAAGCUGAAUUUAAAGUGAGUAAAUUUCAAGGCAUUCAAGUGGUGGCAUGGGUAUUUCCUGCCACCUUUAGCCAAGUUUACUGUGAUAAUUAGUAAGCAAAAUCACACACACACACAUAUACUUUAGCCAAGUUUACUGUGAUAAUUAGUGAGCAAAAAUCACACACACACACACAAAAAAACUUUAUGAAAAACUUGCACUUCAGAAAAUAAGCAGGUGUAAAAUUGGUGCAAGG